UACGUAGGUGGCGAGCGUUGUCCGGAUUUACUGGGCGUAAAGAGCGCGCAGGCGGUCGUACAAGUCGCGUGUGAAAGCCCCCGGCUUAACUGGGGAGGGUCACGCGAUACUGUUCGACUCGAAGGCAGGAGAGGGAAGCGGAAUUCCCGGUGUAGUGGUGAAAUGCGUAGAUAUCGGGAGGAACACCAGUGGCGAAGGCGGCUUCCUGGCCUGUUCUUGACGCUGAGGCGCGAAAGCUAGGGUAGCAAACGGG
Molecule: ribosomal RNA, 253 nt
Filed under: uncultured bacterium
Lineage: Bacteria
Description: partial 16S ribosomal RNA
Rfam family: Bacterial small subunit ribosomal RNA
Source: RNAcentral